RNAcentral lists this ribosomal RNA (616 nucleotides) under uncultured Legionella sp. RNAcentral describes it as "bacterial SSU rRNA". It matches the Rfam family "Bacterial small subunit ribosomal RNA", at positions 242 to 849 of the family's 1533-position model. Lineage: Bacteria; Pseudomonadati; Pseudomonadota; Gammaproteobacteria; Legionellales; Legionellaceae. The record is from RNAcentral.
UAGCUAGUUGGUGGGGUAAGGGCCUACCAAGGCGACGAUCGGUAGCUGGUCUGAGAGGAUGACCAGCCACACUGGAACUGAGACACGGUCCAGACUCCUACGGGAGGCAGCAGUGGGGAAUAUUGGACAAUGGGGGCAACCCUGAUCCAGCAAUGCCGCGUGUGUGAAGAAGGCCUGAGGGUUGUAAAGCACUUUCAGUGGGGAGGAGGGUUGAUAGGUUAAGAGCUAAUUAACUGGACGUUACCCACAGAAGAAGCACCGGCUAACUCCGUGCCAGCAGCCGCGGUAAUACGGAGGGUGUGAGCGUUAAUCGGAAUUACUGGGCGUAAAGGGUGCGUAGGUGGUUGAUUAAGUUAUCUGUGAAAUUCCUGGGCUUAACCUGGGACGGUCAGAUAAUACUGGUUGACUCGAGUAUGGGAGAGGGUAGUGGAAUUUCCGGUGUAGCGGUGAAAUGCGUAGAGAUCGGAAGGAACACCAGUGGCGAAGGCGGCUACCUGGCCUAAUACUGACACUGAGGCACGAAAGCGUGGGGAGCAAACAGGAUUAGAUACCCUGGUAGUCCACGCUGUAAACGAUGUCAACUAGCUGUUGGUUAUAUGAAAAUAAUUAGUGGCGC